Molecule: long non-coding RNA, 377 nt
Filed under: Mus spicilegus (steppe mouse)
Lineage: Eukaryota; Metazoa; Chordata; Mammalia; Rodentia; Muridae
Description: lncRNA (ENSMSIG00000009315.1)
Source: RNAcentral
GAGGUAUUGGGGUUAGGAUCCUGACCUACGACCUUGAAGAGGCACAGUUAAGACCUUUACCCUAGUUACAGCAAUAAGCCCACCUCUGCCUGAGAGGCCAGUACAUCAGGGCUCUCCCUGUCCGACAUCACCCGACCCGUAACAGUCCACAGACUCUUCUGGAGAGGACUGGAGCUCAAGCAAGGUCAGCCUACCCCACUGGACCGGAGUCUGCAGGAGAGGAAGAUAGCAUCUGCUUGCCGUGGAGUCUCCAAGACUGGCACUGUGCCUGGCCUUUGGAUUCCUAUAAAACAAAGAACCAAACAGCAGGAUGCCCAGGUCUCCUGAGCCCAGCCCUGCUUUCCUGGGGUUUGAAAUGUUCUUCAUCUGCACAGUGA